AACGGUCCUUCGGGGCUUAGUAGAGCGGCGCACGGGUGAGUAACACGUGGGUAAUCUGCCCUCCGGCGGGGGACAACCACUCGAAAGGGUGGCUAAUACCGCAUACGUCGGUCGGGACUGCGGUCCUGAUUGGGAAAGCUGGGUUUCGGCCUGGCACCGGAGGAGGAGCCCGCGGCGCAUCAGCUUGUUGGUGGGGUAAUGGCCUACCAAGGCAGAGACGCGUAGCUGGUCUGAGAGGAUGAUCAGCCACACUGGGACUGAGACACGGCCCAGACUCC
RNAcentral lists this ribosomal RNA (278 nucleotides) under uncultured bacterium. RNAcentral describes it as "partial 16S ribosomal RNA". It matches the Rfam family "Bacterial small subunit ribosomal RNA", at positions 71 to 339 of the family's 1533-position model. The record is from RNAcentral.